AUGGAGCGCUCCCUUUCCAUGUCGUACAACCCACAGGAGUUGUUGUGCUGGAACGUGAGGGGACUUAAUAGCCUCGCUAGGAAGAAAGCACUUAGAGAAUUUGUACAUUCAGUCCGUGUUGCUAUCAUUUGUAUCCUAGAAACUAAGCUGGAGAUGGUGGAUCAAUUUGUAAUAAUGCAAUGUUUAGGGCCAGCCUAUGAUGGCUUUUAUUACUUGCCGGCCUCGGACACGCGUGGUGGGAUCUUUGUGGCAUGGGACUCCACGAAGGUGCAACUGACAAACUUCUUCAAUGACACGAACUUCACUACUGGCUAUGUGUCUCCGUUGGAGGGUCUGUCGUGGUGGCUCACUAUGGUCUAUGGCCCACAAGAAGAUGCCCAAAAGAUCAUGUUUUUGGAGGAGCUCGCGGCGAGGCGACAACUUUGUCCUGGACCAUGGCUAGUAUGGGGUGACUUUAACAUGAUUUUGUAUGCGGCGGACAAGAAUAAUGCAUUACUGGAUCGGUGGAUGAUGAGCAGGUUUAAAAGGUUUGUGGAGGACAAUGCUCUCAAGGAGCUCUUCUUGCAUGGGCGUAGAUUUACGUGGAGUAGUGAACGGGAGGUGCCGACUCUAACUAAGAUUGACAGCAUUUGUUUCGAUUGA
RNAcentral lists this ribosomal RNA (642 nucleotides) under Triticum aestivum (bread wheat). RNAcentral describes it as "partial small subunit ribosomal RNA". Lineage: Eukaryota; Viridiplantae; Streptophyta; Magnoliopsida; Poales; Poaceae. The record is from RNAcentral.